This 433-nucleotide ribosomal RNA is filed under the name uncultured bacterium. RNAcentral describes it as "partial 16S ribosomal RNA". It matches the Rfam family "Bacterial small subunit ribosomal RNA", at positions 29 to 507 of the family's 1533-position model. The record is from RNAcentral.
AGCGAGCGCUGGCGGCAGGCUUAACACAUGCAAGUCGAACGGGCACUUCGGUGCUAGUGGCAGACGGGUGAGUAACACGUGGGAACGUACCUUUCGGUUCGGAAUAAUCCAGGGAAACUUGGACUAAUACCGGAUACGCCCUUCGGGGGAAAGAUUCAUCGCCGAUAGAUCGGCCCGCGUCUGAUUAGCUAGUUGGUGAGGUAAUGGCUCACCAAGGCGACGAUCAGUAGCUGGUCUGAGAGGAUGAUCAGCCACAUUGGGACUGAGACACGGCCCAAACUCCUACGGGAGGCAGCAGUGGGGAAUAUUGGACAAUGGGCGCAAGCCUGAUCCAGCCAUGCCGCGUGAGUGAUGAAGGCCUUAGGGUUGUAAAGCUCUUUUGUCCGGGAAGAUAAUGACUGUACCGGAAGAAUAAGCCCCGGCUAACUUCGUG